Molecule: ribosomal RNA, 497 nt
Filed under: uncultured bacterium
Lineage: Bacteria
Description: partial 16S ribosomal RNA
Rfam family: Bacterial small subunit ribosomal RNA
Source: RNAcentral
GAUGAACGCUGGCGGCGUGCCUAAUACAUGCAAGUCGAGCGAACAGACGAGGAGCUUGCUCCUCUGACGUUAGCGGCGGACGGGUGAGUAACACGUGGAUAACCUACCUAUAAGACUGGGAUAACUUCGGGAAACCGGAGCUAAUACCGGAUAAUAUAUUGAACCGCAUGGUUCAAUAGUGAAAGACGGUUUUGCUGUCACUUAUAGAUGGAUCCGCGCCGCAUUAGCUAGUUGGUAAGGUAACGGCUUACCAAGGCAACGAUGCGUAGCCGACCUGAGAGGGUGAUCGGCCACACGGGAACUGAGACAAGGUCCAGACUCCUACGGGAGGCAGCAGUAGGGAAUCUUCCGCAAAGGGCGAAAGCCUGACGGAGCAACGCCGCGUGAGUGAUGAAGGUCUUCGGAUCGUAAAACUCUGUUAUUAGGGAAGAACAAAUGUGUAAGUAACUAUGCACGUCUUGACGGUACCUAAUCAGAAAGCCACGGCUAACUACGUG